AUUCCUCAUCCCUCUCACCCUUAGCCGCCUACCACCCCAAAGAGUAUCUUCGUCGAUGGCUCAUCUCCAAAUCCGCCAAAAUCAUCACCAAAUAACCUCUGUUCCCUCCUCUUUCCAAAUCUCUUAGCCUCAUCUCUCGAAUUCCUCUCAAUUGAUUCGUAUAGCAGAUCUAAAAACGGAUAGAAACCCUAGUUUGCCUAUUUUUACCCAAUUUUUCAGUGGUUUAUGAACUCGUUUUGACCGCUUAGAUUACCUCCGAAGUUGCUUCUUCUUCUUCAAAUUCGGCAUGUAAUGAAUAUUGUUCCAUGUAGCAUUGGCUCGCAUGUGAAUUUGGCGGCAAGUGCUCACGUUACAAUCUCCAUUACCUGCCGGAAUUCCUGUAUUUGUUGGUGUUCGUUUGGCUUGCCGGAUUCCAGUUUUACGGAUUUGUUCAAGGUUAAUCGGGAUCCAGGUGUUCCCGGUCAUAGCUUGUGUUGAUAUUUGAGCAGCUAAUUCCGGAGACUAUCGAGGUAGCUGCAUGGUGUUCGCAGGCCUUGGCUCUCUUUCAUUAUCUUAUUCGUAUUUCAGUUCUUUUUCCUUAGAUGUUGUAUUAGACUGCUCCUGGUAUAGAUGCUCAUAUACUCAGUGACACCCCGAUGUCGGAUGUCGGGCUAAUUUUCUGCACUUAUGCUUUGGGUUUUACCCCGUUUUUAUGAAAAAUUCCGGUUAUUUUAAA
Nicotiana tabacum (common tobacco) is the source of this 715-nucleotide non-coding RNA. NCBI's taxonomy places the organism in Eukaryota, Viridiplantae, Streptophyta, Magnoliopsida, Solanales, Solanaceae. The record is from RefSeq and is a predicted model, not a curated record.